CAAUGCGGGUGCUAUACAUGCAGUCGAGCGAACAGACGAGGAGCUUGCUCCUCUGACGUUAGCGGCGGACGGGUGAGUAACACGUGGAUAACCUACCUAUAAGACUGGGAUAACUUCGGGAAACCGGAGCUAAUACCGGAUAACAUGUUGAACUGCAUGGUUCAACAGUGAAAGACGGUCUUGCUGUCACUUAUAGAUGGAUCCGCGCCGCAUUAGCUAGUUGGUAAGGUAACGGCUUACCAAGGCAACGAUGCGUAGCCGACCUGAGAGGGUGAUCGGCCACACUGGAACUGAGACACGGUCCAGACUCCUACGGGAGGCAGCAGUAGGGAAUCUUCCGCAAUGGGCGAAAGCCUGACGGAGCAACGCCGCGUGAGUGAAGAAGGUCUUCGGAUCGUAAAACUCUGUUAUUAGGGAAGAACAAAUGUGUAAGUAACUAUGCACGUCUUGACGGUACCUAAUCAGAAAGCCACGGCUAACUACGUGCCAGCAGCCGCGGUAAUACGUAGGUGGCAAGCGUUAUCCGGAAUUAUUGGGCGUAAAGCGCGCGUAGGCGGUUUUUUAAGUCUGAUGUGAAAGCCCACGGCUCAACCGUGGAGGGUCAUUGGAAACUGGAAAACUUGAGUGCAGAAGAGGAAAGUGGAAUUCCAUGUGUAGCGGUGAAAUGCGCAGAGAUAUGGAGGAACACCAGUGGCGAAGGCGACUUUCUGGUCUGUAACUGACGCUGAUGUGCGAAAGCGUGGGGAUCAAACAGGAUUAGAUACCCUGGUAGUCCACGCCGUAAACGAUGAGUGCUAAGUGUUAGGGGGUUUCCGCCCCUUAGUGCUGCAGCUAACGCAUUAAGCACUCCGCCUGGGGAGUACGACCGCAAGGUUGAAACUCAAAGGAAUUGACGG
RNAcentral lists this ribosomal RNA (896 nucleotides) under uncultured Bacillota bacterium. RNAcentral describes it as "bacterial SSU rRNA". It matches the Rfam family "Bacterial small subunit ribosomal RNA", at positions 38 to 916 of the family's 1533-position model. The record is from RNAcentral. Lineage: Bacteria; Bacillati; Bacillota.